Molecule: ribosomal RNA, 252 nt
Filed under: uncultured bacterium
Lineage: Bacteria
Description: partial 16S ribosomal RNA
Rfam family: Bacterial small subunit ribosomal RNA
Source: RNAcentral
UACGUAGGGUGCAAGCGUUGUCCGGAAUUAUUGGGCGUAAAGAGCUCGUAGGCGGUCUGUCGCGUCUGCUGUGAAAACUCGGGGCUUAACCCCGGGCCUGCAGUGGGUACGGGCAGACUAGAGUGCGGUAGGGGAGACUGGAAUUCCUGGUGUAGCGGUGAAAUGCGCAGAUAUCAGGAGGAACACCGGUGGCGAAGGCGGAUCUCUGGGCCAUUACUGACGCUGAGGAGCGAAAGCGUGGGGAGCAACGGG